This is a long non-coding RNA of Aethalodelphis obliquidens (Pacific white-sided dolphin), 2003 nucleotides long. RefSeq lists it as uncharacterized. The record is from RefSeq and is a predicted model, not a curated record. Lineage: Eukaryota; Metazoa; Chordata; Mammalia; Artiodactyla; Delphinidae. The transcript is spliced from 6 exons.
UGAUUAUUGGAGAGAUAGAUCGUUAGAGGUUAUCUUAGCAAUGAGGAGUUCUGCAUUUGUUUACGUUGUAUAGUGUGUCAGAGUAGAAGACAAAAUUGUCUAUAUUUUGGAUUUCCCAUCUAUUCUUUCUCAGCAGUCUGAUAUAAUGUGCAUUUAAGAGUGUUCUCCUUGGACUAGAGUUUAGUCUUAGCCAUCAUUCUCAAUAUUCAAAGUGGUUGGAGAGCUGCUUCUUUUCCCUGUUCUGGUCCAGUUGACCAAGGUUAACGGGAUCUCAAGUGCCAGGAGAAGGCUGUCUACCAGUUCCUUGCAUUUGACCGUGGGUGGACUUCACACAUUCACUGUUUCUCUCUUUUACCAGGUGGUUCUUGGUCACCUUCACCUCCCAUCAAGCAGCCUCCUCUUGCCGACAGACGUCACUCAGGAAGGACUUCUGGUGAUGCAGAUUUCUUGGGAAAGUUGUUGAUUUCACUGUAUUCGGGAAGGAUAAGUUUUGAUGAUCAUUUCCUGUGCCUAAGAAACCAUAGGUGAGAACCACACAUUCUAUCUAAUGUGGCUGUUGUUUCUAACUGAGGCCAGCUACGCUGAGCAAGCCUUUCCCGUCUAAGUGGAUGCCAAAAGCCCACCGGACCAAAAUAAUAUUAAAGACAUCCAAGGAGAACAUCUCUGAAUGGGCGGCAAGAUUGCUCAGACAGGUCUUGCUCUAUGAUGUUUAGCAGUGAAUACGAAUGUUACCAAUGGACACUAGAGCUGAAAAUCACCUUGGAGGACACCUGCUCUGACUCCCUCAUUUCACAGCUGGCACCUUGGCUGGCUCCCUGGGAAACACAACUGGGCACCUCAUGGAAAAGUCAAGGAGAUAACCUCAGAAGUAAUUCUGCAUGGAGAUGCUGAACCAGGACUCAACCCCUUCUCGCUCUGGAUCAUCUUUGUCAUUGUCAAAUAAGAGAUUCGUGGAGGGGUUUAUAUAUUUCCAAAUGGGAUUGUAAAUGCUUAAAGUUCAUAGAAUGUUGGAUCUGGGAGGAGAUUCUCAGUUCAACUCAACCUUACAUCCUACGAGAAGGAAACAGAAAUCCAGAAAGUCAUGCAGUUAUAUGUAACCAAGAUGGAAACUAGAACCCUAUUUCCCAACUUCCAGAGGAAAACGUUUGGCUCCAAGAAUAGGCUUAUUCCCCUGAGCCCUGGAGCUGAUAACCAGGGGAGCCUCUUCACUAUGUAAAGGUCACUGAAUGAUGACUUGCUACUACAGACACAUUCCUGCAGCACCUACAAUGUUCAAGACAGAGGUAGUACAAGAGGGAAAUAAACUAUGAGGGAUGGGCAAAUCUGGGUAGGGGACAGCCAUGCCACACCCAACUGAGAUGUGGACUGGGCAAUCUACAUAUAAAACUAUAUUCCAGGUCCUGACUUCUAAAAUGUAUCAGCGGCUCUAGCUGAAUGGCAUUCUAGCCACACAGUCAUUACCCCUUGAUCCUAAGUUCGGCACAGCAGUUCUUACCAUUAAUUCUUCUAGUGUUGUAAAGAAGUAAGGGCAGAGGUGGGUGCAGAUGGCAGACAAAAGAGUGGGUCAUUUGGCCUGUUUAAGCCAUAGUAAGGUCUCCCAUCUCAGCACUAACCUAUCUGCCAGCAUUACAGGUGGCAUGUAGCAUGAAUUCAUCCCCUCUUCCGAGUCACCAAUUUCCCUAAUCCAAGCACACCUCCUACCCAGCCCAGCUUGACUCUGUUGAUCCAUCAGUUGCUGUCAUCACCAGGAGUCAAGGCAAGCAGGUGUUUUCAAGAUUUUUUUUAACUUUGCUAACACCAAGAACUCUUUGAAUAUUAAAAUCUCAGGCAGCAAGCGUGUCUUUCUAGUUUGGUUUGUAAUAGUUUGUAAAUGCAUUAAUAAUCCGCCCAACUUUGUCUGUCAUACUUUGUGUUUUUCUAAAUACACAAGCACGUGUCCUGAUUAAGUUCUUAUGUGGAUUGCGUUAAGUCUGUGAGUUUGGGUGACUGUUAAAGUGCUCUGU